AUGAACGCUGGCGGCGUGCUUAACACAUGCAAGUCGAACGAUUAAAGCUCACUUCGGUGAGUGUAUAGAGUGGCGAACGGGUGAGUAACACGUGGGAAACCUGCCCCUUUCUUCGGGAUAACUUCGGGAAACCGUUGCUAAUACCGGAUACUCCGGGAUGGUCGCAUGGCCGACCCGGGAAAGCUUUAUGUGGAAAGGGAUGGUCCCGCGGCCCAUUAGCUUGUUGGUGUGGUAAUGGCCUACCAAGGCGAUGAUGGGUAGCCG
Molecule: ribosomal RNA, 264 nt
Filed under: uncultured bacterium
Lineage: Bacteria
Description: partial 16S ribosomal RNA
Rfam family: Bacterial small subunit ribosomal RNA
Source: RNAcentral